CACGUAGGUGCGAGCGUUGUCCGGAAUUAUUGGCGUAAGAGCUCGUAGGCGGUGUGUCGCGUCGGCCGUGAAACCUGCAGCUUAACUGUGGCUUGCGGUCGAUACGGGCAUCACUGGAGUUCGGCAGGGGAGACUGGAAUUCCGGGUGUAGCGGUGGAAUGCGUAGAGAUCCGGAAGAACACCGGAGGCGAAGGCGGCUGCUGGGCUUGGUCUGACGCUGAGCGCGAAAGCGUGGGAGCGAACAGG
This 246-nucleotide ribosomal RNA is filed under the name uncultured bacterium. Its description in RNAcentral is "partial 16S ribosomal RNA". It matches the Rfam family "Bacterial small subunit ribosomal RNA", at positions 524 to 776 of the family's 1533-position model. The record is from RNAcentral.